CAGUAGCCACGGGAAUACGAAGGGUGCAAGCGUUAAUCGGAAUUACUGGGCGUAAAGCGUGCGUAGGCGGUUUGUUAAGUCUGUUGUGAAAUCCCCGGGCUCAACCUGGGAAUGGCAAUGGAUACUGGCAAGCUAGAGUGUGUCAGAGGAUGGUGGAAUUCCCGGUGUAGCGGUGAAAUGCGUAGAGGUCGGGAGGAACAUCAGUGGCGAAGGCGGCCAUCUGGGACAACACUGACGCUGAGGCACGAAAGCGUGGGGAGCAAACAGGAUUAGAUACCCCCGUAGUCCCUGUCUCUUAUAC
Molecule: ribosomal RNA, 301 nt
Filed under: uncultured bacterium
Lineage: Bacteria
Description: partial 16S ribosomal RNA
Rfam family: Bacterial small subunit ribosomal RNA
Source: RNAcentral